AAGAGUUUAUAACUCCCAAACCCAUGUGAACAUACCUCUCGUUGCCUCGGCAGUCCGCGCCCUCGCGGGUCGCGCUGCCGGCGGCCCACGCAAACUCUGUUUGAUACUGGACUUCUGAAACCUAUACUUAAUAAGUUA
RNAcentral lists this unclassified non-coding RNA (138 nucleotides) under uncultured Xylariaceae. RNAcentral's name for it is "sequence contains ITS1". Lineage: Eukaryota; Fungi; Ascomycota; Sordariomycetes; Xylariales; Xylariaceae. The record is from RNAcentral.